RNAcentral lists this ribosomal RNA (434 nucleotides) under uncultured bacterium. RNAcentral describes it as "partial 16S ribosomal RNA". It matches the Rfam family "Bacterial small subunit ribosomal RNA", at positions 31 to 507 of the family's 1533-position model. The record is from RNAcentral.
GAACGCUGGCGGCAGGCUUAACACAUGCAAGUCGAGCGGGCAUCCUUGUGGUGUCAGCGGCAGACGGGUGAGUAACGCGUGGGAACGUGCCCUUCGGUUCGGAAUAACUCAGGGAAACUUGAGCUAAUACCGGAUACGUGCGAGAGCAGAAAGGUUUAUCUGCCGAAGGAUCGGCCCGCGUCUGAUUAGCUAGUUGGUGAGGUUAUGGCUCACCAAGGCGACGAUCAGUAGCUGGUCUGAGAGGAUGAUCAGCCACACUGGGACUGAGACACGGCCCAGACUCCUACGGGAGGCAGCAGUGGGGAAUAUUGGACAAUGGGGGCAACCCUGAUCCAGCCAUGCCGCGUGAGUGAUGACGGCCUUAGGGUUGUAAAGCUCUUUUCUCCGGGACGAUAAUGACGGUACCGGAGGAAUAAGCCCCGGCUAACUUCGUG